ACAACAGAACCAAAGAUGGAGUACUGCAGAACAACAAAAUAUAUAUAUACAUGAAAAGCUUCACCGACAACAAAAUGAAAAUGAAUUUCUAGUCAAACCAGAAAUUUUCAUUCCAUGAUAAUUCCGUUAAAGCAAAGGGUAUCAAACAAACGUUCCAGACGUCUUUGCAUAGCCUAAUAUAGUUUUUAUGCUAAGACGCUCGAUCAUGAUUCGUGGUUUUAGUUUCAGGAAGAAUCUAGCAGAACAAAAAAUAAUUCAUGAUUCUUGGUUUCAGUUGCAAGAAAAUACUUGCACAACCAAAAAAAUAUAUAGAUAAUUCUCAUGAUUGUUGCUUUUAGUGACAAGAUGAAUCAACAAGGAAAAAUGACAAUAAUGCUUAC
This 380-nucleotide unclassified non-coding RNA is filed under the name Hevea brasiliensis (rubber tree). The record is from RNAcentral. Lineage: Eukaryota; Viridiplantae; Streptophyta; Magnoliopsida; Malpighiales; Euphorbiaceae.